UUUAGCUAGUUCAUCGGUUUGAACCGGCUUGUUGAUUUGGUGGUCAGCCAAUCAUCUUUGUGUGUCGUUUGGUGGUUAACCAACACACUACAUUUGUUCUUAGGUGGUUAGCCUUAGAUCGUGGGUAUAUCAAGAGCCAUUCCGCAUCUCUUGACGAUCCUUUCAAUCCAUCUCAGUUCCAGAAGUGCCGUUUGCCUUCUCGGAUCAUAUCCAACACCCAGCUAAAGUGAUCCUCCCUAUCUUAGGGUUCUAUCAGUUGGUAUCAGAGCCACUUUGGCUGGUUUGUUUUCAUUUCAUCUUUUCAUCUUCUCAUCUCUCCACGAUUUUAUUUUCUUAUUUCUUGUUGGAUCCGGGCUGUUCCUUUACUCCCUUGUGAUCGCCAGUUAUUAAAAAAAAAAAAGAGAAAAAAAAAUUGAUCAAAAAAAAAAAAAGAGUGAAAGUUUUGGCUUGAAUCACUUCUGAAGAGAAAUCCAGGGGGAGUGGUGGAAGAGAAACCCUGCUGGCUGAAGAGAAACCCAGCCUUAGGACAGUUAAGGCGGAUCCACACAAAAAUCUCUUCAUUGUUCUUUCUCUUUUCUUUUCUCACAAAGUUUGUUUUGGGUUUUGACUGCUGAUUUUUUACUGCCUAUCAUCCUUUGAACCAGUGAAAGAACUCUG
Molecule: long non-coding RNA, 657 nt
Filed under: Brassica rapa (field mustard)
Lineage: Eukaryota; Viridiplantae; Streptophyta; Magnoliopsida; Brassicales; Brassicaceae
Description: long non-coding RNA (BRAP_LNC008298)
Source: RNAcentral